GGCGCCGCCAGGCAGCGCUCGCCGAGCGCCGGCCGCGGGAGCCAGGCAGCGCUGCGGAGCGCCGAGAGCCCCGGGUGCGUGUGGAGAAGGGGGGAGGUUCCCAGACAAAAGGCGAAGCGCAAUGAAAUGGGCUCCCGGGCCGUGCCGGCCCCUCCGGCCCGACCCCCGGCUUCACCCCGAGAAGCGCUGCUCAGGGGUAGUUUUCCCUAAACUUUCAGCUCAGCGCCUGUUGAGGAGCUCACGCAUAACGCGCUGCACAACGUGUCCUAAGCGAGUCAGCCAUUUUAGGGCUGCACGGCCUCCCUCAGCUGUCAGAUCCAGGAUCAGGAAUUCAUACAACUGAGAUGGAGACAAGGAAAAAACUUUUGCAUUAGCCAAAUACCACCCUAUACUGUCUCAAUUCCUUCUAAGUCUUUAAACUAGUCUAAACUUUGUAUAUGGCCAUGAUAUACAUAUGCAAUUAUAAAGUUUGACAUAAAUCUGUAAUAUGUACCAUCA
Molecule: long non-coding RNA, 498 nt
Organism: Cygnus olor (mute swan)
Lineage: Eukaryota; Metazoa; Chordata; Aves; Anseriformes; Anatidae
Exons: 2
Source: RefSeq, a predicted model, not a curated record